UACGUAGGUCCCGAGCGUUGUCCGGAUUUAUUGGGCGUAAAGCGAGCGCAGGUGGUUUAUUAAGUCUGGUGUAAAAGGCAGUGGCUCAACCAUUGUAUGCAUUGGAAACUGGUAGACUUGAGUGCAGGAGAGGAGAGUGGAAUUCCAUGUGUAGCGGUGAAAUGCGUAGAUAUAUGGAGGAACACCGGUGGCGAAAGCGGCUCUCUGCCCUGUAACUGACACUGAGGCUCGAAAGCGUGGGGAGCAAACAGG
Molecule: ribosomal RNA, 252 nt
Filed under: uncultured bacterium
Lineage: Bacteria
Description: partial 16S ribosomal RNA
Rfam family: Bacterial small subunit ribosomal RNA
Source: RNAcentral